Molecule: unclassified non-coding RNA, 1132 nt
Filed under: Patiria miniata (bat star)
Lineage: Eukaryota; Metazoa; Echinodermata; Asteroidea; Valvatida; Asterinidae
Description: uncharacterized LOC119745897, transcript variant X3
Source: RNAcentral
UUUAAAAACUCUUUAAACCCAUGUUUUCUUUUUUUCUGGAGGGCUAGGCCGGCGCUGUUUACGCAACUCAAGUAAGUUUCCACAGGGAGAAAUGGCUUUAAGGGAAAUAAAUAAGCUGUUUACGCUGAACACUAGUUUUCCAGUUUUUCCCCUUGACCAGUUUGAGUGGCUCUUCACCAAGGUAAUGAAAGUCGAAGGAGCGUCAAUAGAGCUAGAGAGGGGCUAUGUGCAAAUAUUAUGUUGGACAUUUUACAAAUCCCCGGGAGCAUCAAACUAGGCCUAUAUCUAUACUAAUAAAAAAGUAAUAAUAUAGCAGUGUUGAACCCCACCGUACAGGAGCGACACAAAAUAUUGAAUUCUACUUCGAAUGCUGGAGGGAACUAUAUGCUUAAAUGUUUCCAGUGACGGGUGCAUAUGCGCAUCCAUCAGUGCGGAUGAAAGGCGCUGAGGCAGACUGGACGCCCAUACAAUGCACAGACAGGGAGUGUAGCCACUCCUGGAUGAAGGCUCCGCAUCUGCACUGUCCAUUCUGCUCCCAGGACAGUCUCUUCACUGAGGAGAUUCUCCUCAAGGCGCACUACGUACAGGGUCAAGUACGUGGAUAAAGGCAUCAACUUUGGGGGAUGUCAACCAGAUCUUCACCACAUACACUGACCCAGCACCCAACAGUACCAGCCUGGUAACACACCUCAUAGUCCCCCAGUCACAGCAGCCAUCGGAGACAGACACAUCAUCCCCGGGGCUAUGAGCAGACUGAUGGGCAGCAGCCGCAGAUCGAGUACCAGUAUGCCUGCAUCAAUGAUCCGAGUCAGAGCACUGCCAAUGGGGAAGUUGUCCUUAUUGAAAUACCAGAUGAAGGAAGCAAAGAGGAUUUGGAGGACGAGACUUGCUACACAGAGCACAACUUGUCGCUGCUGCUGCAGGAGAAGGAAAGUCUGGAGAAGACUCUUGAGGAGGAGCGGACCGCGUGGGCCCAGACAGAGCACAGAAUGAAAGGUUGAGUAUUUGUCCAACACAAACAUGUCACUCAAGCAGCAGCUGUCCAUGAUUCACACGUCCAGUUUGAAACAUCUAACCAACGACAGCGAGAACCAGUCCAUUUUGCAAGAGUUACUGCAACACAUGUCUGAGG